ACAGAAUUUUCAUAAGAAAAAACCUACAAACGAAUGUGUUUGCCUUUUGGGGAGUCCCCCUUCUCAACCUCCGGCUAAACAUUCAUACAGAUAUCAGCAGCUCCAUUGGAACCAAAAAGGAAGAAAGAAAGAUGAAUACUCCCACACUUAUUGUUGGACCUACUGGAUGGAAUCCCCCCCCCUAUUAUUCCCCUGUGCACAAAUUAAUCUCAUAAUUACAACUACAUCUACAUAUAUAUAUAUAGGCUUAGUGAACAAACUUAUUGUAUAUCCAGUAAAACUCGAAACGGCUUAUUAAAGAAAUACCUAAAGCUAUGUAUGUAUUGUAUAUCCUGUACGAUAAUAAAUAUUUUAAAACUUUA
Molecule: long non-coding RNA, 362 nt
Organism: Drosophila montana
Lineage: Eukaryota; Metazoa; Arthropoda; Insecta; Diptera; Drosophilidae
Exons: 2
Source: RefSeq, a predicted model, not a curated record